UAUGGGCGAAAAUUGAGUUUCUAACAAAUCAACUGUCAAAAACUGAGAUCAACUGCGGCCACUCUCCCUUGAAAGAGCCCUAGAACAGCUUAAGCAGCCGUGUUUUGCAUUUCUCAGGCAAGUGGAAUUCUCUUCUUCAACUUUAAACAUAUAUAUAAGGUGCUGUAUCUAUAAUAAAUAUGGCUGCAUUUGUACGCCAAAAAUCCAUCUCUCUGUUAUUGAAGAAACUUUCAUCUCCCUGCAAAUCCAUCUUUGAUUUCUCAAUCUCUCCCCGUUUGUAUAAUUCCACUACAGAAUCGUCUAGUGCAACGCAACCCGUAAUCGAUUCGGAUUUAGCAAAUCUAAACAAAACCGAAAAAUCCGAUCUUGUUAUUUCAUUCUUCAAAGAAGGUGGGUUUUCGAGCACCCAAUUGGGGAAAAUCGUGAAAUACAAACCCUCUUUGGUAUCAGCUAAUCUCGAGAAAUCAAUCAAGCCCAAAAUCAAGAUUUUCCAGGACUUGGGGUUUUCGGGCAACGACAUUGCCGAUAUAGCGUCGCAUAACCCGUCGAUUUUGUUUCGGAGCGCGAACAAUAUCCUCAUCCCCUCGUUAUCCGUGCUCAGGGGUUUGUUGGGAUCCAACGAGGAGGUGGCGAAGCUUCUAAAGAAAUCGGGGUGGUUUUUGGUGAAAGAUUUGGAGAAGACGUUACUGCCGAAUGUCGAUUUCUUGAAGAGCUGUUGUGUAACCAUGGAACAGAUUAUUCGGACGGUGAACUCGUUCCCGAGGUUUCUAUUACAGAAUCCCGAAAAUAUAAGAAAAUGUGCAAAUAAGGCCGAGGAAAUGGGCGUCAAAAGGGGUUCGAAAAUGUUCAUUCACGCGGUUCGGACAGUUGCUUCGAUGAGCGACGAGACGUGGGAAAUGAAGUUGCAGGCUUUUCGGGAUCUCGGGUUUUCGGAAGACGACAUUUUGAGGGCUUUUAGGAAGUCGGUUCCGGCUUUUGCUGUUUCUGUGGAGAAGAUGAAUAAGGUUAAAGAGGUUGUCGUUUCUAGCGGGAAGUACGACAUGGCGUGUAUUAUCAGCCACCCGAUAUCGUUUAUAUGCAGCGUUGAAAAGAGGUAUAAACCGAGGCUGCAAGUUUUAAGGAUUUUGGAAAGUAAGAAUUUGAUUACAAAGUGGCCAAGCUUUAGUACAAUGUACAGCAUAUCAGACAAGCAGUUUUUCGACAAAUUUGUCGGCCCUUAUCAACAUCAAGUUGGCCAUGUAUCGAUGCCAAAGUGUGCUACCCGUGGCAAAAAAAUGAGGUUAAAUGAAUCUUGAUUAUGAAAUUAAUUUUAUUAUUUUAACUUUAGAUUACCGAAGCCUAGAGUAUUUAUACUAUUUUGUAUUCUUGAUGCUAAACUUAGUUGUUUUGUACGAUUCUUGGAAGGUUUUAGUAUUGAUGUUUUGUAACUGGCUUAUCAAUCGUGUAGCGAGGAAUUUUACAUCGGUGACUAGCCGUCUCUAAUAGAAUUGCAUAUGCGACGAACAUCUUUUAGUAUCUCCAAAGAUCGAUUUUUUACUUAUCAUUUUCAUCUAUGAUAUGAAAAACUUAGAUAAUGUUUGGAUU
Erythranthe guttata (spotted monkey flower) is the source of this 1584-nucleotide non-coding RNA. The record is from RefSeq and is a predicted model, not a curated record. NCBI's taxonomy places the organism in Eukaryota, Viridiplantae, Streptophyta, Magnoliopsida, Lamiales, Phrymaceae.